Molecule: ribosomal RNA, 465 nt
Filed under: Vreelandella stevensii
Lineage: Bacteria; Pseudomonadati; Pseudomonadota; Gammaproteobacteria; Oceanospirillales; Halomonadaceae
Description: partial 16S ribosomal RNA
Rfam family: Bacterial small subunit ribosomal RNA
Source: RNAcentral
CCUACGGGGCGCUGCAGUGGGGAAUGUUGGACAAUGGGCGAAAGCCUGAUCCAGCCAUGCCGCGUGUGUGAAGAAGGCCUUCGGGUUGUAAAGCACUUUCAGUGGGGAAGAAAGCCUUGGGGCUAAUACCCUCGAGGAAGGACAUCACCCACAGAAGAAGCACCGGCUAACUCCGUGCCAGCAGCCGCGGUAAUACGGAGGGUGCGAGCGUUAAUCGGAAUUACUGGGCGUAAAGCGCGCGUAGGCGGUCUGAUAAGCCGGUUGUGAAAGCCCCGGGCUCAACCUGGGAACGGCAUCCGGAACUGUCAGGCUAGAGUGCAGGAGAGGAAGGUAGAAUUCCCGGUGUAGCGGUGAAAUGCGUAGAGAUCGGGAGGAAUACCAGUGGCGAAGGCGGCCUUCUGGACUGACACUGACGCUGAGGUGCGAAAGCGUGGGUAGCAAACAGGAUUAGAUACCCGGGUAGUC